AUUCUUCCUCCAAGUCCCGCAAGCCACUUGCUCUCAAAUACCCCAAUUUCCAGUCCCCGCCCACCCCAAUCUCCAACUUCUCUCCUCCUCAAAACCCUAGAUGCCAAUUUAGAAAUAAUUCACCCAUUUCUGAUCCUUAUCGCAGGCCUCACAAGAUUGCCAGAUCUUGCGCUUCCGAGGUCAGCGAAUGCACUGGCCCGCUGGAAAUAGUCAGGACGCCUAUUGCCAAUACGGUGCUGUAUUCAUCUCCCGAGGCUUACUUAUCACCGCA
Molecule: unclassified non-coding RNA, 271 nt
Filed under: Hevea brasiliensis (rubber tree)
Lineage: Eukaryota; Viridiplantae; Streptophyta; Magnoliopsida; Malpighiales; Euphorbiaceae
Source: RNAcentral